This 558-nucleotide ribosomal RNA is filed under the name Amsacta albistriga. Its description in RNAcentral is "bacterial SSU rRNA". It matches the Rfam family "Eukaryotic small subunit ribosomal RNA", at positions 46 to 580 of the family's 1831-position model. Lineage: Eukaryota; Metazoa; Arthropoda; Insecta; Lepidoptera; Erebidae. The record is from RNAcentral.
AGGCCGUGCAUGUCUAACUGCAAGCACGUUUAUACUGCCAAACCUGCAAAGGGUCCAUUAAUCCAUUUAUCGUUUCAUAUAAUUUACCCUUUUACCUUGAAAACCGUUGUAAUUUCUAAACUUAAACCUGCCAUCAAAACUCUAACCCGUGAUGGGAUGAUUGCUUUUAUUAAAUCAAAACCCCUCUACGGACGGCCUCGCGACCCAAGUCGUUAAUUUUGAUGAAUCUGGAUUACUUUUGCCAAUGUCCUGGUCCAUUUCCGGCCUCGCAUCUUUCAAAUGUCUGCCUUAUCACCUUUCGAUGGUAAUUUCUGCAACUACCAUGGUUGUCACGGGUAACGGGGAAUCACGGUUCAAUUCCGGAGAGGGAGCCUGAGAAACGGCUACCACAUCCAAGGAAGGCAGCAGGCGCGCGAAUUACCCACUCCCGGCACGGGGAGGUAGUGACGAAAAAUAACGAUACGGGACUCUUACGAGGCCUCUUAAUCGGAAUGAGUACACUUUAAAUAUUUUAACGAGGAACAAUUGGAGGGCAAGUCUGGUGCCACCACCCGCGGA